This 665-nucleotide long non-coding RNA is filed under the name Capra hircus (goat). RNAcentral describes it as "lncRNA (ENSCHIG00010007081.1)". Lineage: Eukaryota; Metazoa; Chordata; Mammalia; Artiodactyla; Bovidae. The record is from RNAcentral.
AUUCAAAUGAAUUCUUUUUAACGGCUGAGUAAUACUCCAUUGUGUAUAAGGAAUCAAUCUUCUCUUGGCAAGUAUAUAGUGACUUUUACUGUUUGAGUCAUAAAGAACACAUAUCCUACCUCAAUUUUUUCUUUCCAAAUCACAGAUUCUAAAUGCUGCUCUCAGUUUCUGUAAAGUCUAUUCUCCUUGGAAAUCAGACUCAUUUUUCCUCAUUUAUGCUCUACAGUGAUGUGAGAAAGCCCAUAGAUUGACUCUAGUGUGAUUUUUUUCUCACAGGGGAAACUCCAGGAAUCUUUGGAGAGACUAAAGGGGGAACAGCAGAAAGUUGAGAUGCUGGAAGAUGAAAUUCAAGAAGAGAUUUCUACCUGGAAGAAUCAAAUACAGCAUGAAAGAGAAAAUAUUUAGACAGAGUUUAAAAAACUGAGAGAGAUCCUGGACAGUGAGGAGCUGAAGUAACUGCAAAACCUGAAGACUGAGGAGGAAGCUGGUCUGGGUAACCUGGCCGACUCUGAGGAUAAGCUAGUCCAGCAGAACCAGUUGGUGAGCAAUCUCAUCUCACAUGUGGAGCAUCAGUUGCAGAGGUCAACCACUGAGAUGAUGCAGGAUGUGAAUGCCAUCAUGAAAAGUUCAGGUGACCUUGAAUUCUUUCACAAGUAAUCCAAAUG